AGUUAGCCUAACCGCAAGGAGGGGCGAUUGCCACGGUGAGAUUCAUGACUGGGGUG
This 56-nucleotide ribosomal RNA is filed under the name uncultured bacterium. RNAcentral describes it as "partial 16S ribosomal RNA". The record is from RNAcentral.